UUAAUGAAAUCCACUUCGGGUUUUCCUAGAGUGUAGGGGCGGAGAAGUCAUCCCCAGUCUCCAAUUCUUCGGAAGCUGAAAGGGGCUUUUAGUUUCAAUUACUUUUAUGCUAGGUUACAGAAGGAUGGAACCGCAUCCCGCAGCCACGAAUAUCUCCCGUGCUCCGGGGAAAACGGCCUAAUUGAAAACGUUGUCAGCAGCACACAACCCUUCUUACAGCUUGAGUGGCUGCUUUUCUGGGUGGAAAAGAGCGAUAUCAGACCGAUGGUGAGCAAUCGGGGGACGGAUAAACAAAGGUAAACGUGGCUGUGUGAUUAAGUUAUGGCCAAUGAGCUAUAAGUAGAAAUAGUUGAGUAGAACUUCUGGAAAAUAUCUUUAAAGAAGAUUGGCUCAGUUAGGAAGAGCGCCAUUUUGGUUUGUGUCCUCCACUUUUCUUCCUGCCUGAAACACAGAUAAAGUGAUCAGAGCAUCUCAGCCAUUAUGGAUUAUUAACACACCUUGAGAUGAGAAGCCAUGUCCUAAGGAAGCAUUAAUGUCUUAGCCUCUGCAGAAAAGCCUUGGUCUUUAUUACCCUGUGGAAGAAAGAAAACAAAAGCCCCUGUGAAUACCACACAAUAGAUGCUGAUUCUCUGCUGAAGGGAAAGAGCAAGCCGGGAGAGCUGGACUGGAAGACCAUUUUUGUCUAUAGCACUAUGAAGAUCACUGCCUGGACUCUUGGUGCUGUAGAAGUUUGAAGGUCCUGGGACAUAGAGAAGUGAUAAACUUGAUGACCACCCUGCAUUUACAAGAAGUUAUUGCCUGCAAGUAGGUGCUCAGAUACAUUCAACUUGAACUUCCCAAGAGGCUUUUAAACACCAGAUUCUCAGACUCCACCCAAGAUUCUAGCUCAGUAGCUCUGGAAUGGGAUCUUUUUUUUUAAUAAAUCUCACUUCCAAGGUGAUUUUGAAGAGCAGCUUGAUUUGUUGGAAACCACCAUCAUAGGCAAGCCAGUAGAGGACAGUAGUGGCUGAAAGAGUGGCAUGCAGUGGCUCUAGCUAAUCUGUUCUGAAACUUUGUAACAUGCACCCCCAAUCACUGCAAAUAAAAAUAGCAUGCCUGCUAUGCAAAUUCAGCUUCAAGAAAAGUCCCUUAGGCACGCUCUUGCCAGCCACAUUGUACCUUAAAAUCCCCUUAGUAAAGUAAUUUUGGAGUCUCCAGCAGAAGUGAUAUAAUCCAUACUGUAGCUUUCAAAGAACUUCCAAGAUAGAUAACACACAAAUCUAGGAUAGCACACUUUAAGAACUGAAUGAGGACUAUAGACAUUGAGCAUUCAUUCAGAAGAGGAAGCAAUUACUAUAGUCUGAGCUGUUGAGAUACGCCUCAGCGUGAAGAGUGGUUUGAGCUGAAUUAUGGAAGAAGGUAGAGCUGGGAUGUAUGGUGGUAAAGAAAAAGAAUACUGGAUUGGGGUUGGGAUUUGGGAAUAAAACUGGCUUUGCCAUUCACUAGCUGGAUGCCUCUG
Molecule: long non-coding RNA, 1498 nt
Organism: Hipposideros armiger (great roundleaf bat)
Lineage: Eukaryota; Metazoa; Chordata; Mammalia; Chiroptera; Hipposideridae
Exons: 5
Source: RefSeq, a predicted model, not a curated record